Molecule: ribosomal RNA, 872 nt
Filed under: Glutamicibacter protophormiae
Lineage: Bacteria; Bacillati; Actinomycetota; Actinomycetes; Micrococcales; Micrococcaceae
Description: bacterial SSU rRNA
Rfam family: Bacterial small subunit ribosomal RNA
Source: RNAcentral
GAUGCAGCGACGCCGCGUGAGGGAUGACGGCCUUCGGGUUGUAAACCUCUUUCAGUAGGGAAGAAGCGAGAGUGACGGUACCUGCAGAAGAAGCGCCGGCUAACUACGUGCCAGCAGCCGCGGUAAUACGUAGGGCGCAAGCGUUAUCCGGAUUUAUUGGGCGUAAAGAGCUCGUAGGCGGUUUGUCGCGUCUGCCGUGAAAGUCCGAGGCUCAACCUCGGAUCUGCGGUGGGUACGGGCAGACUAGAGUGAUGUAGGGGAGACUGGAAUUCCUGGUGUAGCGGUGAAAUGCGCAGAUAUCAGGAGGAACACCGAUGGCGAAGGCAGGUCUCUGGGCAUUUACUGACGCUGAGGAGCGAAAGCAUGGGGAGCGAACAGGAUUAGAUACCCUGGUAGUCCAUGCCGUAAACGUUGGGCACUAGGUGUGGGGGACAUUCCACGUUUUCCGCGCCGUAGCUAACGCAUUAAGUGCCCCGCCUGGGGAGUACGGCCGCAAGGCUAAAACUCAAAGGAAUUGACGGGGGCCCGCACAAGCGGCGGAGCAUGCGGAUUAAUUCGAUGCAACGCGAAGAACCUUACCAAGGCUUGACAUGUGCCAGACCGGAUCAGAGAUGGUCUUUCCCUUCGGGGCUGGUUCACAGGUGGUGCAUGGUUGUCGUCAGCUCGUGUCGUGAGAUGUUGGGUUAAGUCCCGCAACGAGCGCAACCCUCGUUCCAUGUUGCCAGCACGUAGUGGUGGGGACUCAUGGGAGACUGCCGGGGUCAACUCGGAGGAAGGUGGGGAUGACGUCAAAUCAUCAUGCCCCUUAUGUCUUGGGCUUCACGCAUGCUACAAUGGCCCGGUACAAUGGGUUGCGAUACUGUGAGGUGAGC